GUGGGGAAUAUUCCGCAAUGGACGAAAGUCUGACGGAGCAACGCCGCGUGAGUGAUGAAGGUUUUCGGGCUGUAAAGCUCUGUUGUUUAGGACGAAAGUGCCUGUUGCAAAUAGUUACAGGUAUUGACGGUACUGAACGAGGAAGCCACGGCUAACUACGUGCCAGCAGCCGCGGUAAUACGUAGGUGGCAAGCGUUGUCCGGAAUUAUUGGGGGUAAAGAGCAUGUAGGCGGGAAUCUAAGUCUGUUGUGAAAAUGCGGGGCUCAACCCCGUAUUGCGAUGGAAACUGGGUUUCUUGAGUGCAGGAGAGGAAAGGGGAAUUCCCAGUGUAGCGGUGAAAUGCGUAGAUAUUGGGAGGAACACCAGUGGCGAAGGCGCCUUUCUGGACUGUGUCUGACGCUGAGAUGCGAAAGCCAGGGUAGCGAACGGGAUUAGAAACCCUGGUAGUCC
RNAcentral lists this ribosomal RNA (450 nucleotides) under uncultured bacterium. RNAcentral's name for it is "partial 16S ribosomal RNA". It matches the Rfam family "Bacterial small subunit ribosomal RNA", at positions 354 to 796 of the family's 1533-position model. The record is from RNAcentral.